RNAcentral lists this long non-coding RNA (252 nucleotides) under Homo sapiens (human). RNAcentral's name for it is "HSALNT0229608". The record is from RNAcentral. Lineage: Eukaryota; Metazoa; Chordata; Mammalia; Primates; Hominidae.
CAUCCCAGGGUCCCGCCCAGUGCCCCGCACCCCGGCGGUCACCUGGUGUAGGAGUACUUGUUGUUACUGCGGUUGUGCAGGAGCUUCACCACGGGCUGGCGGGGGAGAGAGGAUGGACGAGAGGGGUGAGGCUGCAGGGAGAGGCCCCCCCAGUGAGCCUCCACCCUGCAGGGCUUGGGGGCCUCACCUUGGAGGUGCUGGCCAGGAGCUGCUGCUCCUCCCGGGGAGAUGUCACCAUGGGGAUGAGGCACA